RNAcentral lists this ribosomal RNA (492 nucleotides) under uncultured bacterium. RNAcentral describes it as "partial 16S ribosomal RNA". It matches the Rfam family "Bacterial small subunit ribosomal RNA", at positions 29 to 507 of the family's 1533-position model. The record is from RNAcentral.
AGUGAACGCUGGCGGUAGGCCUAACACAUGCAAGUCGAACGGCAGCACGGUAAGAGCUUGCUCUUACGGGUGGCGAGUGGCGAACGGGUGAGGAAUACAUCGGAAUCUACUUUUUCGUGGGGGAUAACGUAGGGAAACUUACGCUAAUACCGCAUACGACCUACGGGUGAAAGCAGGGGAUCUUCGGACCUUGCGCGAUUGAAUGAGCCGAUGUCGGAUUAGCUAGUUGGCGGGGUAAAGGCCCACCAAGGCGACGAUCGGUAGCUGGUCUGAGAGGAUGAUCAGCCACACUGGAGCUGAGACACGGUCCAGACUCCUACGGGAGGCAGCAGUGGGGAAUAUUGGACAAUGGGCGCAAGCCUGAUCCAGCCAUACCGCGUGGGUGAAGAAGGCCUUCGGGUUGUAAAGCCCUUUUGUUGGGAAAGAAAAGCAGCAGGUUAAUACCCCGCUGUUCUGACGGUACCCAAAGAAUAAGCACCGGCUAACUUCGUG